RNAcentral lists this small nucleolar RNA (133 nucleotides) under Hucho hucho (huchen). The record is from RNAcentral. Lineage: Eukaryota; Metazoa; Chordata; Actinopteri; Salmoniformes; Salmonidae.
GUGGUGGUCAGUGUAAUGACUACAGUACUGGUCAGUGUACUGUAGUCUCUUAAGACUCACCACAGACUGAGUCUGGUACCUGCCGACAGGGACUGAGAGAUAUCGGACUCCCUGUGCGAUGGUUCCAUACAAA